This 346-nucleotide ribosomal RNA is filed under the name uncultured bacterium. RNAcentral's name for it is "partial 16S ribosomal RNA". It matches the Rfam family "Bacterial small subunit ribosomal RNA", at positions 338 to 681 of the family's 1533-position model. The record is from RNAcentral.
CCUACGGGAGGCAGCAGUGAGGAAUAGUGGUCAAUGGACGAGAGUCUGAACCAGCCAAGUAGCGUGAAGGAUGACUGCCCUAUGGGUUGUAAACUUCUUUUAUAGGGGAAGAAAAUGUGCCACGUGUGGGAUGUUGUAUGUACCAUAUGAAUAAGGAUCGGCUAACUCCGUGCCAGCAGCCGCGGUAAUACGGUGGAUCCGAGCGCUAUCCGGAUUUAUUGGGUUUAAAGGGAGCGUAGGUGGCUUGUUAAGUCAGUUGUGAAAGUUUGCGGCUCAACCGUAAAAUUGCAGUUGAAACUGGCAGUCUUUAGUACAGUCGAGUUGGGCGGACUUCGUGUUGUAGCGG